RNAcentral lists this ribosomal RNA (394 nucleotides) under uncultured bacterium. Its description in RNAcentral is "bacterial SSU rRNA". It matches the Rfam family "Bacterial small subunit ribosomal RNA", at positions 29 to 407 of the family's 1533-position model. The record is from RNAcentral.
AACGAACGCUGGCGGCGUGCCUAACACAUGCAAGUCGUGCGAGAAAGUUCCUUCGGGAGCGAGUAAAGCGGUGCACGGGUGAGUAACACGUAGGUAACCUGCCCCCCAGUCUGGAACAACUAGAGGAAACUCUAGCUAAUGCCGGAUGAGACCACGAUCCCUUCGGGGGUUGCGGCCAAAGAUGGCCUCUACUUGUAAGCUAUCGCUGAGGGAUGGGCCUGCGGGCCAUUAGCUUGUUGGUGAGGUAACGGCUCACCAAGGCUGUGAUGGCUAGCUGGUCUGAGAGGAUGACCAGCCACACUGGGACUGAGACACGGCCCAGACUCCUACGGAGGCAGCAGUGGGGAAUAUUGGACAAUGGGCGAAAGCCUGAUCCAGCAAUGCCGCGUGUGUG